AGCUCCUGAAAGAUGUGAGUAGACUUAUUGAUACACAUGUGUGAAUGGUUUAAAAGCUAAAACGUUUUCCCAUCUUAUUUUAUUAUUUCCUGACUCAGCUUACUAGCAAACCUGUCGUCAUCAUUGUUUGGUUAUUGUCAACGAUGCUAACGCUAACGCUAAUGCUAACGCUAAUGCUAACGCUGAUGCUAACGCUAGCUAACUUAACGUUACAGUAUGUAAAUCUGUCUUGUAUCUCUUCUAACUUUGUAACAUUAGACCUGAGUAAGUUUUGCAUGUCACAUUCAUUCAUGCAUUCAUAAUUAGGCUAAAUGUAUUGUGCAAGAUAUAGUGACAUGCAUCAUGACAUGCGACUAUUACAGUAUGAAAAGAAAUCAGAACAUUCAGGGAUUCUUCAAAAGAAAGAAAUCCAAAACAACAGAGCAGGACAGAGCAGCAGAAGCCAGCAGUGCUAGUCAGUCUGAGGAUGAGAGCCAGCUUGACUCUGCUAGGGAUGUACAGCAGGAGCCUCCAGCUUCAGCUGUACACAUGGACUCAGACAAGGAUACUGGUGAUGAAGGCCCUUCAUCUUCACUUGCACAUCAGGGUGUGUCAAGUCAGCCACUCUCUGACAAUGACACUGACACUGAGAACCAUCCAGCAGUACCUGCAGGCCAUGCAGUGACACGUGGGGAUGGUGAUGCAGCAGCCCUUGUGGCCCCACCUGGACCUCAUGGUAUGCCUUAAUAUUUCAUAUGAAAUAUAUUGUACUUAAUUCAAUUCUUUCAUCUGUACUAAUGCCCCAAUGAGCACUUCUGUCCCAACAAGUACAUGACACUGAUCCAAUUCUCAUGCUUUUGUCAC
Pseudoliparis swirei is the source of this 843-nucleotide long non-coding RNA. RefSeq lists it as uncharacterized. Lineage: Eukaryota; Metazoa; Chordata; Actinopteri; Perciformes; Liparidae. The transcript has 3 exons. The record is from RefSeq and is a predicted model, not a curated record.